This 2901-nucleotide ribosomal RNA is filed under the name Escherichia coli. RNAcentral describes it as "bacterial LSU rRNA". It matches the Rfam family "Bacterial large subunit ribosomal RNA". Lineage: Bacteria; Pseudomonadati; Pseudomonadota; Gammaproteobacteria; Enterobacterales; Enterobacteriaceae. The record is from RNAcentral.
UUAAGCGACUAAGCGUACACGGUGGAUGCCCUGGCAGUCAGAGGCGAUGAAGGACGUGCUAAUCUGCGAUAAGCGUCGGUGAGGUGAUAUGAACCGUUAUAACCGGCGAUUUCCGAAUGGGGAAACCCAGUGUGUUUCGACACACUAUCAUUAACUGAAUCCAUAGGUUAAUGAGGCGAACCGGGGGAACUGAAACAUCUAAGUACCCCGAGGAAAAGAAAUCAACCGAGAUUCCCCCAGUAGCGGCGAGCGAACGGGGAGGAGCCCAGAGCCUGAAUCAGUGUGUGUGUUAGUGGAAGCGUCUGGAAAGGCGUGCGAUACAGGGUGACAGCCCCGUACACAAAAAUGCACAUAUUGUGAGCUCGAUGAGUAGGGCGGGACACGUGGUAUCCUGUCUGAAUAUGGGGGGACCAUCCUCCAAGGCUAAAUACUCCUGACUGACCGAUAGUGAACCAGUACCGUGAGGGAAAGGCGAAAAGAACCCCGGCGAGGGGAGUGAAAAAGAACCUGAAACCGUGUACGUACAAGCAGUGGGAGCCUCUUUAUGGGGUGACUGCGUACCUUUUGUAUAAUGGGUCAGCGACUUAUAUUCUGUAGCAAGGUUAACCGAAUAGGGGAGCCGAAGGGAAACCGAGUCUUAACUGGGCGUUAAGUUGCAGGGUAUAGACCCGAAACCCGGUGAUCUAGCCAUGGGCAGGUUGAAGGUUGGGUAACACUAACUGGAGGACCGAACCGACUAAUGUUGAAAAAUUAGCGGAUGACUUGUGGCUGGGGGUGAAAGGCCAAUCAAACCGGGAGAUAGCUGGUUCUCCCCGAAAGCUAUUUAGGUAGCGCCUCGUGAAUUCAUCUCCGGGGGUAGAGCACUGUUUCGGCAAGGGGGUCAUCCCGACUUACCAACCCGAUGCAAACUGCGAAUACCGGAGAAUGUUAUCACGGGAGACACACGGCGGGUGCUAACGUCCGUCGUGAAGAGGGAAACAACCCAGACCGCCAGCUAAGGUCCCAAAGUCAUGGUUAAGUGGGAAACGAUGUGGGAAGGCCCAGACAGCCAGGAUGUUGGCUUAGAAGCAGCCAUCAUUUAAAGAAAGCGUAAUAGCUCACUGGUCGAGUCGGCCUGCGCGGAAGAUGUAACGGGGCUAAACCAUGCACCGAAGCUGCGGCAGCGACACUAUGUGUUGUUGGGUAGGGGAGCGUUCUGUAAGCCUGUGAAGGUGGCCUGUGAGGGUUGCUGGAGGUAUCAGAAGUGCGAAUGCUGACAUAAGUAACGAUAAAGCGGGUGAAAAGCCCGCUCGCCGGAAGACCAAGGGUUCCUGUCCAACGUUAAUCGGGGCAGGGUGAGUCGACCCCUAAGGCGAGGCCGAAAGGCGUAGUCGAUGGGAAACAGGUUAAUAUUCCUGUACUUGGUGUUACUGCGAAGGGGGGACGGAGAAGGCUAUGUUGGCCGGGCGACGGUUGUCCCGGUUUAAGCGUGUAGGCUGGUUUUCCAGGCAAAUCCGGAAAACCAAGGCUGAGGCGUGAUGACGAGGCACUACGGUGCUGAAGCGACAAAUGCCCUGCUUCCAGGAAAAGCCUCUAAGCAUCAGGUAACAUCAAAUCGUACCCCAAACCGACACAGGUGGUCAGGUAGAGAAUACCAAGGCGCUUGAGAGAACUCGGGUGAAGGAACUAGGCAAAAUGGUGCCGUAACUUCGGGAGAAGGCACGCUGAUAUGUAGGUGAAGCGACUUGCUCGUGGAGCUGAAAUCAGUCGAAGAUACCAGCUGGCUGCAACUGUUUAUUAAAAACACAGCACUGUGCAAACACGAAAGUGGACGUAUACGGUGUGACGCCUGCCCGGUGCCGGAAGGUUAAUUGAUGGGGUUAGCGGUAACGCGAAGCUCUUGAUCGAAGCCCCGGUAAACGGCGGCCGUAACUAUAACGGUCCUAAGGUAGCGAAAUUCCUUGUCGGGUAAGUUCCGACCUGCACGAAUGGCGUAAUGAUGGCCAGGCUGUCUCCACCCGAGACUCAGUGAAAUUGAACUCGCUGUGAAGAUGCAGUGUACCCGCGGCAAGACGGAAAGACCCCGUGAACCUUUACUAUAGCUUGACACUGAACAUUGAGCCUUGAUGUGUAGGAUAGGUGGGAGGCUUUGAAGUGUGGACGCCAGUCUGCAUGGAGCCGACCUUGAAAUACCACCCUUUAAUGUUUGAUGUUCUAACGUUGGCCCGUAAUCCGGGUUGCGGACAGUGUCUGGUGGGUAGUUUGACUGGGGCGGUCUCCUCCUAAAGAGUAACGGAGGAGCACGAAGGUUGGCUAAUCCUGGUCGGACAUCAGGAGGUUAGUGCAAUGGCAUAAGCCAGCUUGACUGCGAGCGUGACGGCGCGAGCAGGUGCGAAAGCAGGUCAUAGUGAUCCGGUGGUUCUGAAUGGAAGGGCCAUCGCUCAACGGAUAAAAGGUACUCCGGGGAUAACAGGCUGAUACCGCCCAAGAGUUCAUAUCGACGGCGGUGUUUGGCACCUCGAUGUCGGCUCAUCACAUCCUGGGGCUGAAGUAGGUCCCAAGGGUAUGGCUGUUCGCCAUUUAAAGUGGUACGCGAGCUGGGUUUAGAACGUCGUGAGACAGUUCGGUCCCUAUCUGCCGUGGGCGCUGGAGAACUGAGGGGGGCUGCUCCUAGUACGAGAGGACCGGAGUGGACGCAUCACUGGUGUUCGGGUUGUCAUGCCAAUGGCACUGCCCGGUAGCUAAAUGCGGAAGAGAUAAGUGCUGAAAGCAUCUAAGCACGAAACUUGCCCCGAGAUGAGUUCUCCCUGACUCCUUGAGAGUCCUGAAGGAACGUUGAAGACGACGACGUUGAUAGGCCGGGUGUGUAAGCGCAGCGAUGCGUUGAGCUAACCGGUACUAAUGAACCGUGAGGCUUAACCU